This 468-nucleotide ribosomal RNA is filed under the name uncultured bacterium. RNAcentral's name for it is "partial 16S ribosomal RNA". It matches the Rfam family "Bacterial small subunit ribosomal RNA", at positions 28 to 507 of the family's 1533-position model. The record is from RNAcentral.
GACGAACGCUGGCGGCGUGCUUAACACAUGCAAGUCGAACGGAAAGGCCCUGCUUUUGUGGGGUGCUCGAGGGGCGAACGGGUGAGUAACGAGUGAGUAACCUGCCCCUGUCUUUGGGCUCAAUUCAAGAAACUGGGGCAAAUACCGGAUAGGCGUUCCUGCUGCAGGGGGGGGGAUGGAACGUUUCGGUGGGUGGGGAUGAGCUCGCGGCUUAUCAGCUUGUGGGGGGGGGGGUGGCUUACCAGGGCUUUGACGGGUAGCCGGCCUGGGUGGGUGACCGGCCACUUUGGGAUUGGGAUAGGGCCCGGACCCCUACGGGGGCCAGCGGGGGGAAAUAUUGCACAAGGGGCGGAACCCUAAGGCAGCAACGCCGCGGGCGGGAUAACGCCCUUCGGUUUGUAACCCGCUUUCGCCGGUGACGAGGCGUUAGUGACGGUAAUGGGUAAAGAAGCACCGGCUAACUACGUG